ACCUAAAAUUAAGUCUAAAGUAUCCUCAUGUAAACCAUACCCUUUUAUCCUUCAUAAAACAUUUACCCAGUUCAGUAGAGGUGAUCAAAAAACUUAUUAGAACUAUACCCUAAGUACCGCAAGGGAAAAAUGAAAUAGCUUUGAAAUAGACCUAAAGUGAAAUAUAGCAGAGACCCACCCUCGUACCUUUUGCAUCAUGGUUUAGCUAGUCUUCCCAAGCAAAACGAAAUGUUAGUUUGACCCCCCGAAACUAAGCGAGCUACUUCAAAACAGCUUAUAGAGCCAACCCCUUUCUGUUGCAAAAGAAUGGGAUGAUUUUCAAGUAGAGGUGAAAAACCUACCGAGCUUAGAGAUAGCUGGUUACUCAGGAAAAGAAUCUUAGUUCAACUUUAAGCCUCUUCAUUAUCUUUAUAACGACCUAAAGCUUAAAAGCCACUCAAAUAAGGCACAGCUUAUUUGAGAAGGGAAACAACCCAGAAAAAAGGGUAAACCCACCACCAAAAAUCAAGUGGGCCCAAAAGCAGCCACCUUUCAGAAAGCGUUAAAGCUCCAUUUUGAAGACAAUUAAAUACCCAAACUUAACCUAAACCCUUUAUUUCUACUGAGUGAUUCUAUAUUUAUAUAGAAACCCUAAUGCUAAAACUAGUAACAAGAAAACGACUUUCUCCAUAAUAUACCUAUAAGUCAAAAUGGACAAACCACUGACAAUUAACGCCAUGAGCCCAAUAUAAUAACUCUCCAAGAAAAUCUUAUAUAUUUAGGCGUUAACCUUACACAAGAGUAUUUCCGGAAAGAUUAAAAGAAAGGGAAGGAACUCGGCAAAUCUUAACCCCGCCUGUUUACCAAAAACAUCGCCUCUUGACAACCCAUAAGAGGUCCAGCCUGCCCAGUGAUAUAAUUCAACGGCCGCGGUACCCUGACCGUGCGAAGGUAGCAUAAUCACUUGUUCUCUAAAUAAGGACUAGUAUCAAUGGCACCACGAGGGAUAUACUGUCUCCCCUUUUUAAUCAGUGAAACUGAUCUCCCCGUGAAGAAGCGGGGAUAAAUCUACAAGACGAGAAGACCCCAUGGAGCUUUAAACCCAAUAACACCAACACUUAAGUAUACCCAUAAAAUAAACAGAACUGUUUAUUGGUUUUAGGUUGGGGUGACCACGGAGUAAAACUAAGCCUCCACGACGAAUACACCUAUCUCAGAGCUACCCCUCUAAGAAUCAAAACUUUGACGUAACCUGAUCCGACUUUCGAUCAACGAACCAAGUUACCCUGGGGAUAACAGCGCAAUCCAUUUCAAGAGCCCCUAUCGACAAAUGGGUUUACGACCUCGAUGUUGGAUCAGGGUAUCCCAGUGGUGCA
This 1355-nucleotide ribosomal RNA is filed under the name Limnonectes khasianus (Khasi Hills frog). RNAcentral's name for it is "partial 16S rRNA". It matches the Rfam family "Bacterial large subunit ribosomal RNA", at positions 23 to 2557 of the family's 2925-position model. The record is from RNAcentral. Lineage: Eukaryota; Metazoa; Chordata; Amphibia; Anura; Dicroglossidae.